UCCCUGGUGGCUCAGAUGGUAAAGCGUCUGUCUACAAUGCAGGAGACCCGGGUUCGAUCCCUGAGUUGGGAA
RNAcentral lists this transfer RNA (72 nucleotides) under Ovis aries (sheep). It matches the Rfam family "tRNA". Rfam says of the family: Transfer RNA (tRNA) molecules are approximately 80 nucleotides in length. Their secondary structure includes four short double-helical elements and three loops (D, anti-codon, and T loops). The record is from Rfam by way of RNAcentral. Lineage: Eukaryota; Metazoa; Chordata; Mammalia; Artiodactyla; Bovidae.